UGUUCCCCAGAGCAGUGCAAUCAGUGCUGGCAAACUGAAGCUGCAAGUGUCCGAGGGACCCUGGGACAUCUUUGGGGUCUGCGUAGGUACCUAUGGAGGAGCAGAGAUGGCAGAUGAAGGAGGCCGUGGAGGAGAAAAGGAACACAGGAAUUCACCAGAAAUUGGCAGGCUGUGGAAUUGAUGGAGUCCACUUACUGUCCAGGCCUAAGGGGGUCCAAUAAUCCCAUCCUUUGCCGAACGCUUCACUGUGGUACUGGCAUCAUUUCAAGCAUUUAAUCCUCGUUCCAACUCUACGAGGAAGAAAAGCACAGAUGUGGUCCUGGCUGGAGAGGGAAGAAUCCCACUGCUCUUCUCAUUUGAGGAUCUCAAGGCACAUCAAAAAACAUCUGCUGAGGACGUGGCAGACCCUAAAGAUGUCUCGGUCAAAGUUGCCCUCCCUAGAGAGUUCCAGUCCCAGUCUGGUCCCAGUCCAGUCCACACAGAGCAUUCACCGACACUCCUCAAAUCCUCCAUCAUCUGCGCAAGUGGAGUAGAUAAAGUUCGUAAGAAUCUGGGAUCUCAUUCACCACCUCUUUUCCCAUCUUUCCAUGGCAUUGGGCUCCUCCUGGGACACCUGCUUCCCUGUUUUCUGUUGCUUCCUCCUGCCUUAAGAUGGUGACAUUGAGCAGACAUGAUCAAAAGAUGUCCCCAGAAGCCAACCUUCUCUAAGCAGAAUCUGAUUCUGGGUUCUCUGAAUGCUGCCUCUCCACUACCCCACAAAGAAAGCUGAAACUGGGGAGCUUCUUGUUAAGGGAGAAACAGUUUUCUUCUUGCCUUUCCUAGUGAGUUCUUUCUACCUGGAAGAUGGAUGUGUGGCCUGGAGCUGCAGCAGCUAUUUUGUGUCCACAAGGAAGUCCCAUAUCCUAA
Long non-coding RNA from Nomascus leucogenys (northern white-cheeked gibbon), 906 nucleotides. RefSeq lists it as uncharacterized. NCBI's taxonomy places the organism in Eukaryota, Metazoa, Chordata, Mammalia, Primates, Hylobatidae. The transcript has 3 exons. The record is from RefSeq and is a predicted model, not a curated record.